This 865-nucleotide ribosomal RNA is filed under the name uncultured Bacteroidota bacterium. RNAcentral's name for it is "bacterial SSU rRNA". It matches the Rfam family "Bacterial small subunit ribosomal RNA", at positions 379 to 1241 of the family's 1533-position model. The record is from RNAcentral. Lineage: Bacteria; Pseudomonadati; Bacteroidota.
AACUCUGAUCCAGCCAUGCAGCGUGCAGGAAGAAUGCCCUAUGGGUUGUAAACUGCUUUUAUACAGGAAGAAACUUUUCCACGUGUGGAAAACUGACGGUACUGUACGAAUAAGGAUCGGCUAACUCCGUGCCAGCAGCCGCGGUAAUACGGAGGAUCCAAGCGUUAUCCGGAAUUAUUGGGUUUAAAGGGUCCGCAGGCGGUUUAUUAAGUCAGAGGUGAAAUCCUACCGCUCAACGGUAGAAUUGCCUUUGAUACUGAUAGACUUGAGUUAUUGUGAAGUAGUUAGAAUGUGUAGUGUAGCGGUGAAAUGCAUAGAUAUUACACAGAAUACCAAUUGCGAAGGCAGAUUACUAACAAUACACUGACGCUGAGGGACGAAAGCGUGGGUAGCGAACAGGAUUAGAUACCCUGGUAGUCCACGCCGUAAACGAUGGUCACUAGCUGUUUGAUCAACAUUGGUUGGUUGAGUGGCUAAGCGAAAGUGAUAAGUGACCCACCUGGGGAGUACGGUCGCAAGACUGAAACUCAAAGGAAUUGACGGGGGCCCGCACAAGCGGUGGAGCAUGUGGUUUAAUUCGAUGAUACGCGAGGAACCUUACCAGGGCUUAAAUGUAAGUUGCAUGAUUCAGAGAUGAAUCUUUCUUCGGACUACUUACAAGGUGCUGCAUGGUUGUCGUCAGCUCGUGCCGUGAGGUGUCAGGUUAAGUCCUAUAACGAGCGCAACCCCUAUCGUUAGUUGCCAGCGGGUAAUGCCGGGUACUCUAACGAGACUGCCAGUGCAAACUGUGAGGAAGGUGGGGAUGACGUCAAAUCAUCACGGCCCUUACGUCCUGGGCUACACACGUGCUACAAUGGCCGGUACA